AGUCCUGACUUCCCACAACUGAUGGCCGACAGAAUGGUCGUACAGCAGACAAAUGGGAUAAUGGUAUACUUCCGAUAGAUUUCUUCCCAUCCAUCUGAUUCGAAACCCACAGGAAAAAUUUGAAGAAGAAACUAAGAGUCAAAGAUUUCCGAAACUCAACCAUCCCACCAGGAGCAUCUUCCUUUAGCAAGACAUCAGUUUCUAGCACUUUCAAAGCACCCUUCAAAAGUUCC
RNAcentral lists this unclassified non-coding RNA (233 nucleotides) under Hevea brasiliensis (rubber tree). Lineage: Eukaryota; Viridiplantae; Streptophyta; Magnoliopsida; Malpighiales; Euphorbiaceae. The record is from RNAcentral.